CUUAUUCUUUUUACUUUGUAUUUGUAUUUUGUCCAUUUUGUUUACAACUAAGAUUCAUCAGUGUCAAUUAGAUUAAGUUGUGUUUUACUCUUUUUAGAAACUAGCACCUGGUUACUAAUUAACAUACACAUAUAAUAAGACAAAUUUUAACAUUGCAAAUUAAAAAUUGGGUCAAAUAACCUUGCUAAUGAAUUAGUUUGUUCAUGAAAAUCGGUCGCAUAUUCCAGAACCCUAGAAAUUCAGCAUUGUUUGUUUUGGUUCUAAAUGUUCCUGGUGAAUUGUCUGGUACCCUCAAACUAUAAAAUAGAAUACCAUUCCUUCAUUCAUUGUCUUGAUUAGGCCUAAUUCACGCUUCAACCCACAUUAACACUUGAUUGAGAAUUCAAAUUCAACCUCGGGCGUUGCUCCCUGCGCAGUACCGAACGUGCUUUGCGAAGCCUCUUUCCAACUAAGAUUCAAACACAGCCCCCAGCUUCCGAAUCGCACAAAGAGCACGCACACGAACCCCGAAUGCUGAAGGAAUUCGAGGGUUGCUCGAUUCCGACGUCGACACAACUUCGUCGAUUGCUUGAUUGCUUUGCACAACCGAACUGACCGAACCUUGCGAUUAAAGCUAAUCGCAGAGUUUUGUGGGGGGUGGUCCAGCUGGGGCUGCUGCUGCUGCUGCGAGAUUAGUCACAGAGCGAAACUGUUGCAGAGGGUGGAUUCUAAUUGCUCCCCUCAAUUCCUCCCUGGGGUAGUUCCCUAGCUCCUGUAGCAAUCCUCUCGCUCGCCGCAGAUCUACGUAGUUUCGAACCGAUUGCAAGCCCAUGCAUUUUACUAGGGUUGAGAGAUAGAAUAUGUGUUACAAAUUCCCAGAGCGCGCGCAGACCCCUACGUUGCUGGCCUCCUACAUCUGCGAAGCGCACCAUAAUCGAACCUAGAAUCCUAGACCUAAUCACUCUACUCCUUUCCAAGCUCUCCUCGGACUUCAACAUCAUGAUCACUGAUUCAGAGUUCAAAGCUUCUACCAACUGGGGCUCUUAUCUUCAGGGGACCACCUCCAGCGCUCUCUCUGCACGGGAUCUCGAUUUCACAUGCGC
This 1082-nucleotide long non-coding RNA is filed under the name Physcomitrium patens. RNAcentral's name for it is "long non-coding RNA (PPAT_LNC000484)". Lineage: Eukaryota; Viridiplantae; Streptophyta; Bryopsida; Funariales; Funariaceae. The record is from RNAcentral.